Molecule: ribosomal RNA, 588 nt
Filed under: uncultured bacterium
Lineage: Bacteria
Description: bacterial SSU rRNA
Rfam family: Bacterial small subunit ribosomal RNA
Source: RNAcentral
UGCAGUCGACGGUAACAGAACUAGCUUGCUAGUUGCUGACGAGUGGCGGACGGGUGAGUAAUACUUAGGGAUCUGCCUCUGUGUGGGGGAUAACUAUUGGAAACGAUAGCUAAUACCGCAUAACGUCUACGGACCAAAGAGGGCUUCGGCUCUCGCGCAGAGAGGAACCUAAGCGAGAUUAGCUUGUUGGUGAGGUAAAGGCUCACCAAGGCGACGAUCUCUAGCUGUUCUGAGAGGAAGAUCAGCCACACUGGAACUGAGACACGGUCCAGACUCCUACGGGAGGCAGCAGUGGGGAAUAUUGCACAAUGGGGGCAACCCUGAUGCAGCCAUGCCGCGUGUGUGAAGAAGGCCUUCGGGUUGUAAAGCACUUUCAGUUGUGAGGAAAGGUUAGUAGUUAAUACCUGCUAGCUGUGACGUUAACAACAGAAGAAGCACCGGCUAACUCCGUGCCAGCAGCCGCGGUAAUACGGAGGGUGCGAGCGUUAAUCGGAAUUACUGGGCGUAAAGCGCACGCAGGCGGUCUGUUAAGCUAGAUGUGAAAGCCCCGCGCUCAACGUGGGAGGGUCAUUUAGAACUGGCAGACUA